This 460-nucleotide ribosomal RNA is filed under the name uncultured bacterium. Its description in RNAcentral is "partial 16S ribosomal RNA". It matches the Rfam family "Bacterial small subunit ribosomal RNA", at positions 338 to 795 of the family's 1533-position model. The record is from RNAcentral.
CCUACGGGGAGCAGCAGUGAGGAAUAUUGGUCAAUGGACGAGAGUCUGAACCAGCCAAGUAGCGUGAAGGAUGACUGCCCUAUGGGUUGUAAACUUCUUUUAUAUGGGAAUAAAAUGUUCCACGUGUGGGAUUUUGUAUGUACCAUAUGAAUAAGGAUCGGCUAACUCCGUGCCAGCAGCCGCGGUAAUACGGAGGAUCCGAGCGUUAUCCGGAUUUAUUGGGUUUAAAGGGAGCGUAGGUGGAUUGUUAAGUCAGUUGUGAAAGUUUGUGGCUCAACCGUAAAAUUGCAGUUGAAACUGGCAGUCUUGAGUACAGUAGAGGUGGGCGGAAUUCGUGGUGUAGCGGUGAAAUGCUUAGAUAUCACGAAGAACUCCGAUUGCGAAGGCAGUUCACUGGACUGCAACUGACACUGAGGCUCGAAAGUGUGGGUAUCAAACAGGAUUAGAUACCCUAGUAGUC